AAAUGGUUAUAUUCUUGAUUUCAAUAAUACCUUCAUCUAAUUUUCAUUAACGUUUGUAUUGCGUCACCCGGUUCUAACUAAAGUGAAACUUUUAUUUUGCAUUUUGUGACGUUUUCUCGUUUUUCGAGUAGUUUAUACAUUAUAUUUUAUACAGUUUAUUUAUUAUAUUCGAGUAAAUGUUUUUCUUUUUAGGGUAUUGUUUCGCUAAAAGGCCUUUUCGGGCUAAUUUUUAGAGCCUUUUUUGAUAGUUUUUAAGGCAUUUAAAUCCAGGCCCUACCCAUCAUAAUAGAACGUUGCAACUGUCUAAAUUUUUGAUUUCUUUACGGGUACAAUAAAAUAAUUUACGUACGAUAGGAUACCCUCCAAUAUAAAUCAUUAAUUAUAGUACCACUCAUCAACUGCAAGGACGACAUAAGUCAAACGCUUCCCGGUGCCUAAGACCAGAUAAUAAUAUAAUCCUCAAUCGCGAACUCAUUUAUUAUCUUGGCUAUUUACUUAAUUGCAUACAUAACUAUCGCACGAUCGUAUCGGUAAAAAUAAUAAUACCGUGCGUAUAUUGGCCCUACCCCGUAAAAAAGAUUACGCGUGUCCCAGUGUACAUAUUAUAUAUCACGAUAGUGUUACAAUAUAAAAUACGAAUAUGUUAUAAGAAUAUAUCCGACAACCGUGGGUGCCCUUUAGGGAAAAUAUCCCCUUGUCAAAUAUUGUAAAACAUAAAAAAUUGUCUUUUCUUGAGCCUUGACGCACGACGCACAGCCUAGAUGUUUACAAUUCGCGCUUUCGUAAUGAGUCAGUAUCAUAAGUUAUGAUUCAUAAAUUCUCGUAUAACAUUUUAUACAGACCUUGUAAUUUUAUAUUUAUCGUGUUCUAUUCAUUAGUCUUUUAAUGUUUGUUUGGUAAUCCGGUUUCAGUUUGUCUCUCCCCUGAUAAUUACUUUAUGGGUGCCCAUGCCGGUAAUGAUAAUAAUAGUAUGUAUAUGUUGAAUAAUGGUUUUCUUAGAUAUCUUCUUAGUAUUAUAAAUAUAAUAUUAUACUGUUAUACUAAUACGUUUUACUACCCGCCUUUUAUAUUACGUACAGGGAGUACCGCUCUAUUAUAGAUUGACGUUAGUCCGUGACACGUCACGUGCUAUAUUGUAUAUAAAAUAGUUUAACUGCGAAUUUUCAUUAAUUUUUAUUAGUAUUGUAAAAAAAUAAAUGUAAAACAUAAAUAAUAUAUUAUACAUAUUAUUUAGGUAUGUAUUAUACUUUUAGUAUGUGGCGCGACCAGGUAACGGGUUAGACGGAUCUGCUUGGAUAAAAACCUACACACACACACACACACAGAUUGUUUAUUUUAUCUAGAAUUUGAUGUGGAGCAAAUUAACGAUUUUUCGAUAAUACAUUAUAAUUCUUCAGACCUCCCUCCCCCCCGCAACAUUCCUUUAAAAAAAUUCUGGUUGCGCCACUGACUGUUUACAAGAAGCUUAAAUGAGUCGACAGCGAGUGUAAGCAAUUGGCCGCCGUGCUUAUACAGGAGUAAAUUUACCUUAAAAUUUACCCCAAAAUGCUCGCAAGAAAAUACGUUAAAAUAUUACCUUAUCUAUACACGGUUAUCGCAUACACGGCAAUCCGAUUUGUAUAAUUCGUUCGGGCGUUAAAGUCUCGAACAGUCUUAGCGCCCACUCAUUUAUUAGUAUCGUUUCUUUCAAUACUACAGUGGGAUUUCAUUUAAUAUGGGGGAAACCGUCUAAAAUAGCCAUAAUGGUCAGCAUGAUAAUGGUUAUGUAUAACGAUACUCAUUUCGGUUAAAAUGGCAAACCACUUAAUGUAGGCAAAUAAAAUUGGUCUCAACGUGACCACAAUAAACGGAAUAUACUAUAUAUUAUAAUAAUAUUAUUAAAUUGUCGUUCUUUAUAGGAGGAUACUUUUCUUGUUUUUAAUAUUGUGAAAGCGAAUCGCAAUUUGAACGAUCGAAAUCAUAGGUAAUAUAAAACCGCGAAAGUUCGAUUUUUUUAAAUUUUUUAUUACGAUAGUAAUCAUAUAAUUUUAUCACGUCUUCUAUAACCACGAUUGGUUGAGGGGUAGUUUUUCUACAAACGCGUGACGUUUACCAAAACCCACUGUAGUUUCAGAUUAAAACCACUCCGCUAAACACAACGUGUUGCGGAUUUAAAAUGUAAUGAGAUUUUUUAUGUGUAGAUGUUUUAUAAAAUUGUUUUCGACGCGAUCAAUUACAGCCGUGUUUGAAUGCGUAAAAAACAAAAAUAAUUUUUUUUUCCUUUAACCUAUCAAAAUACCAAUUACAUUACAUGAUAAUUGGUAUUAUGUUUCUGUAUCAUUUUUUUUUUUUUUUUAAUAUGUGCAUUUCUAAUAAUCGCUAUAGUAUUAUGUUUCGUCUC
This 2380-nucleotide long non-coding RNA is filed under the name Cinara cedri. The record is from RNAcentral. Lineage: Eukaryota; Metazoa; Arthropoda; Insecta; Hemiptera; Aphididae.